Molecule: small nucleolar RNA, 106 nt
Organism: Malania oleifera
Lineage: Eukaryota; Viridiplantae; Streptophyta; Magnoliopsida; Santalales; Ximeniaceae
Source: RefSeq, a predicted model, not a curated record
ACCUGAUGAUGUGGGAAUUUAGAAAGUAGGUCCCUAAAGCGCUCUCAUGUAUCGAACAAGAAUUCUCCAUCCAUCUAUGAGAAACUCAUGAUGGCUCUCUGAAGUU